GGAAGUAAACAAGGUUUCCGUAGGUGAACCUGCGGAAGGAUCAUUAAUGAGUUGUCAUGGGGUUCGAUGCUGGCAGCCAAUUUUUGGAUGCAUGUGCUUGCCCUAACAAUCAUCUCCAAACACCUGUGCACAUUUUUGAGGGAGUCUUGAGUUGGUUGCCGCUCUUGGGUGAUUUUCUCACAUUCCCUUAAAUCAUUAUACGCUAUUAACAAUGUUGAACGUGCUCUGUGCCGCAAGGCUAUUAAUAUAAUACAACUUUUAACAACGGAUCUCUUGGCUCUC
RNAcentral lists this unclassified non-coding RNA (282 nucleotides) under plant metagenome. RNAcentral's name for it is "partial contains small subunit ribosomal RNA, internal transcribed spacer 1, and 5.8S ribosomal RNA". The record is from RNAcentral.